This 684-nucleotide long non-coding RNA is filed under the name Coturnix japonica (Japanese quail). RNAcentral's name for it is "lncRNA (ENSCJPG00005003406.1)". Lineage: Eukaryota; Metazoa; Chordata; Aves; Galliformes; Phasianidae. The record is from RNAcentral.
AAUCUGACCACCCUCUGAUGCAGCACCUGUCCCUGACCCCCAGCUGCCCCUCUCCUGACACUGCUUAGUGCUGCUCCUCCACUCCCUGUGAGGAGCUGCAGCUGCUAUGAGGCCUCCCCUCAGCUCCUCUGUUGUGUAUUUCCAGUCAUCCAUGGAUGUUGUCCUGUGCAUGACAAUACAAAUGCAGAGUUGCAUCAUUUCAUCAAAGAAGUGCCUGUUUGAAUUAACAGCUCAGAUGUAUGCGGUGGCCUUUGUUAGAAAAAAAACAUUGAGCUCCCUCUGGUAGGUAGAAGACAGCUGGCAGGUACUUAGUGCCUUGUCCUGAGAGAGGAGCUCCUGGCUGAAGGAAAAAAAAGCCUGUACUCUCUUCCAACAAGAGGCACUGUGGGACCUUUAAUGUGGCUGUGGGACUGGCUUUUACUGGCUCUUAAAAAGGAAAGAAAGAAAAACAAAAGCAAACAACACAACUGUACUCAAUACAUAUUAUGAUGUGUUCUUUAUUUGGAAAGCUAAAGGAGGAAAAGGGAUCAAGGAACACUGCCAUCAGGUUGUAUGUCCUUAAUGUUCACAGUAAUGUUUGUGCUGGGAUUAGUCCGUAGAAAGAAUAUUUGAAAGAAUAAUUUAAAAAAACAGGUUAUUCAUGUCGUCUGUAACGAUGCAAAAUAAAAAAGCAUGAAACACCCA